AUUGAACGCUGGCGGCAGGCCUAACACAUGCAAGUCGAGCGAGCGGCGGACGGGUGCGUAAUGCCUAGGACUCUGCAUGUUAGUGAGGGAUAACGUCAGGAAACGGUAGCUAAUACCGCAUACAAUCGGCAGUGCCAAGAUGGGAUUAGCUAGUAGGUGGGGUAACGGCUCACCUAGGCGACGAUCCCUAGCGGGUCUGGGAGGAUGACCAGCCACACUGGAACUGAGACACGGUCCAGACGCCUACGGGAGGCAGCAGUGGGGAAUAUUGCACAAUGGGCGCAAGCCUGAUGCAGCCAUGCCGCGUGUAUGAAGAAGGCCUUCGGGUUGUAAAGUACUUUCAGCGGGGAGGCGUUACCCGCAGAAGAAGCACCGGCUAACUCCGUGCCAGCAGCCGCGGUAAUUC
This 406-nucleotide ribosomal RNA is filed under the name uncultured bacterium. Its description in RNAcentral is "partial 16S ribosomal RNA". It matches the Rfam family "Bacterial small subunit ribosomal RNA", at positions 30 to 526 of the family's 1533-position model. The record is from RNAcentral.